GGGCGCUGCCACGACCUUGGGAAGGAAGAGCGCGGCGCUCGCGCUCUCUUACUCCCUCUUUUCUUUCGCCUUUUCCUUUUUCUUUCCGAACUUCUCUGCCCCCGUGAGAUGACCCUGCCUGCUCUUCCCACCUUUCCUAGAAGAACUUAUCGUCUGCGCUCGAGUUCCUAAUCAGGUGGCAGCUGCUCUGCCCGCACUCCGGUCCCAUCCACCCACCGCCCGGGAUAAGGCCUUGGGGAAACGCGGCUUCUCGUCCGGGCUGCUCUGUGUGACCUUGAUAAUCAGCGAACCGCUUGACGAAUGUCGCGGGAAGAUGAGUUCUCAGUAAGUCAGGCCAGCCGCCCAAGGAGUCUAUUCCCCAUUUCGAGCACCGAGAGCAGCCUUCUGAGAAGAGGAGAGAGGCGUCUCCACCCUUGGCAUUGGACAGGACGGCCGGACAGCCGGACAGCCGAACCAGUGCUGGACACACAGGCCGGAGUUCACGUCUUCAUGAACGGAAAUAUAAUGCUCUUCCUAAUAGUCUUGGUUGAGCCACCCUGACCGCCCAGGCCAGAACUUCUCCAGAGGAAGCCUUGCUGAUGGAGGCAGGUCUCUCAAGGGCUCUGGUUCCAGGUCUGAUUCGAACAUCAUAAAUAUCAGAUUAAGUCCCGGCUGCAGAGCUUUGCCAAAUCACCUUCCUGCCAGAAAGCUUGGAAACAUGGCCCCGAGGAGAUAAGGAAACGCUUAGGACCCUCGGUUCAGAUUCCAGCCCCGCCACUGACAUGUGUGCCUUCUUCUCCAGGCUCUGGAUGUUGUUGUAGCUCUAGAGACCAGCUGCCUGGGUUCCAGUCCCAGCCCUACCACUUCCUAAUUGCGUGACUUUGUGUAAGUGAUUUAAUCUCUCUGGGCUUUGAGGUAUCUGUCUGUAAGACGGGGCCAAUAAGAGUGCCUACCUCGCAGGGUUGUUGUACGGAUUAAAAUACUUAAUAGAGCCAAAAUGCUUAGAAUGCUGCCUGACACUCAGUUGAGUGUUAGCUGUUAUAACUGGGUGAGGCCGUGAUGUUAGGAGGUGUGGCAGCCAUCUUGACACCAUGAGGGAGGACAUUGCUGACCAGUUAAAGAUGGCAAAGUGACAGAUGGAAAGAACCUGGAUCUUUGGUGUCACUGAGCUCCUGAAUUAACCAGCUGUGCAACCACCCUCUCUCUGAACUUCUUGUACUGUGAGAUAAUUAAAUUCCCUUUUUGUUUAAGCCAGUUGAGUUUACUUUACUUGCAGCUAAAGCAUCCUACCUGAUAUGCCUCCCUCCCCCAAGAUUUCUCCCCACUUAGAUAAACUGAUCCUUCUGUUGAUAGGAUGACCAAAC
RNAcentral lists this long non-coding RNA (1343 nucleotides) under Equus asinus (donkey). RNAcentral describes it as "lncRNA (ENSEASG00005024876.1)". The record is from RNAcentral. Lineage: Eukaryota; Metazoa; Chordata; Mammalia; Perissodactyla; Equidae.